Molecule: ribosomal RNA, 445 nt
Filed under: uncultured bacterium
Lineage: Bacteria
Description: SSU rRNA
Rfam family: Bacterial small subunit ribosomal RNA
Source: RNAcentral
AGAACGAACGCUGGCGGCAGGCCUAACACAUGCAAGUCGAACGCUCGUAGCAAUACGGGAGUGGCAGACGGGUGAGUAACGCGUGGGAACCUUCCCAGUGGUACGGAAUAGCUCAGGGAAACUUGAGGUAAUACCGUAUACGCCCCUAGGGGGAAAGAUUUAUCGCCAUUGGAUGGGCCCGCGUCGGAUUAGCUAGUUGGUGAGGUAACGGCUCACCAAGGCGACGAUCCGUAGCUGGUUUGAGAGAAUGACCAGCCACACUGGGACUGAGACACGGCCCAGACUCCUACGGGAGGCAGCAGUGGGGAAUCUUGGACAAUGGGCGCAAGCCUGAUCCAGCCAUGCCGCGUGAGUGACGAAGGCCUUAGGGUUGUAAAGCUCUUUUGCCGGGGACGAUAAUGACGGUACCGGAGAAUAAGUCCGGCUACUUCGCGCCAGCAGCCGC